Molecule: ribosomal RNA, 347 nt
Filed under: uncultured eukaryote
Lineage: Eukaryota
Description: SSU rRNA
Rfam family: Eukaryotic small subunit ribosomal RNA
Source: RNAcentral
AUAGCGUAUAUUAAAGUUGUUGCAGUUAAAAAGCUCGUAGUUGAAUUUUAGCCCUGGCUGGGCGGUCCGGCCUCGCGGUCGGUACUGCUUUGGCUGGGGUUCACCUUCUGGUGAGCCAGCAUGUUCUUCACUGAGUGUGUUGGGGAACCAGGACUUUUACUUUGAAAAAAUUAGAGUGUUUAAAGCAGGCAUCCGCUUGAAUACAUUAGCAUGGAAUAAUGGAAUAGGACUUUGGUUCUAUUUUGUUGGUUUCUAGGACCGAGGUAAUGAUUAAUAGGGAUAGUUGGGGACAUUAGUAUUUAAUUGUCAGAGGUGAAAUUCUUGGAUUUAUGAAAGACUAACUUCUG